Molecule: ribosomal RNA, 492 nt
Filed under: uncultured bacterium
Lineage: Bacteria
Description: partial 16S ribosomal RNA
Rfam family: Bacterial small subunit ribosomal RNA
Source: RNAcentral
AGUGAACGCUGGCGGUAGGCCUAACACAUGCCAGUCGAACGGCAGCACAGUAAGAGCUUGCUCUUACGGGUGGCGAGUGGCGGACGGGUGAGGAAUACAUCGGAAUCUACUUUUUCGUGGGGGAUAACGUAGGGAAACUUACGCUAAUACCGCAUACGACCUACGGGUGAAAGCAGGGGAUCUUCGGACCUUGCGCGAUUGAAUGAGCCUAUGUCGGAUUAGCUAGUUGGCGGGGUAAAGGCCCACCAAGGCGACGAUCCGUAGCUGGUCUGAGAGGAAGAUUACACACCCUGGCACUGAGACACGGCCCAGACUCCUACGGGAGGCAGCAGUGGGGAAUAUUGGACAAUGGGCGCAAGCCUGAUCCAGCCAUACCGCGUGGGUGAAGAAGGCCUUCGGGUUGUAAAGCCCUUUUGUUGGGAAAGAAAAGCAGCAGGUUAAUACCCCGCUGUUCUGACGGUACCCAAAGAAUAAGCACCGGCUAACUUCGUG